GACGUAGGGCGCGAGCGUUGUCCGGAUUUAUUGGGCGUAAAGAGCUCGUAGGCGGCUUGUCGCGUCGAAUGUGAAAACCCACGGCUCAACUGUGGGCUUGCAUUCGAUACGGGCAGGCUAGAGUUCGGUAGGGGAGACUGGAAUUCCUGGUGUAGCGGUGAAAUGCGCAGAUAUCAGGAGGAACACCGGUGGCGAAGGCGGGUCUCUGGACGGUGACUGACGCUGAGACGCGAAAGCGUGGGGAGCAAACAGG
Molecule: ribosomal RNA, 253 nt
Filed under: uncultured bacterium
Lineage: Bacteria
Description: partial 16S ribosomal RNA
Rfam family: Bacterial small subunit ribosomal RNA
Source: RNAcentral